UACGUAGGGGGCCAGCGUUGUCCGGAUUCAUUGGGCGUAAAGCGCGUGUAGGCGGCCAGGUAGGUCCGAUGUGAAAUCUGGAGGCUCAACCUCCAGCGGUCAUUGGAAACCAUCUGGCUAGAGUCCGGAAGAGGAGAGUAGAAUUCCUGGUGUAGCGGUGAAAUGCGCAGAUAUCAGGAAGAACACCAAUGGCGAAGGCAGCUCUCUGGGACGGUACUGACGCUGAGACGCGAAAGCGUGGGGAGCGAACAGG
RNAcentral lists this ribosomal RNA (253 nucleotides) under uncultured bacterium. RNAcentral describes it as "partial 16S ribosomal RNA". It matches the Rfam family "Bacterial small subunit ribosomal RNA", at positions 524 to 776 of the family's 1533-position model. The record is from RNAcentral.